This 71-nucleotide transfer RNA is filed under the name Italochrysa insignis. Its description in RNAcentral is "tRNA-Val". It matches the Rfam family "tRNA". From Rfam's summary of the family: Transfer RNA (tRNA) molecules are approximately 80 nucleotides in length. Their secondary structure includes four short double-helical elements and three loops (D, anti-codon, and T loops). Lineage: Eukaryota; Metazoa; Arthropoda; Insecta; Neuroptera; Chrysopidae. RNAcentral also lists the same sequence under 1 other name. The record is from RNAcentral.
CAAAUUAAAGCUUAAAUAGUAAAGCAUUUCAUUUACAUUGAAAAAAUAUUGUGCAAUUCAAUUUAAUUUGA